This 619-nucleotide ribosomal RNA is filed under the name uncultured bacterium. Its description in RNAcentral is "bacterial SSU rRNA". It matches the Rfam family "Bacterial small subunit ribosomal RNA", at positions 338 to 950 of the family's 1533-position model. The record is from RNAcentral.
CCUACGGGAGGCAGCAGUGGGGAAUUUUGGACAAUGGGCGCAAGCCUGAUCCAGCAAUGCCGCGUGAGUGAAGAAGGCCUUCGGGUUGUAAAGCUCUUUUGUCAGGGAAGAAACGGUGGGAGCUAAUAUCUCCCGCUAAUGACGGUACCUGAAGAAUAAGCACCGGCUAACUACGUGCCAGCAGCCGCGGUAAUACGUAGGGUGCAAGCGUUAAUCGGAAUUACUGGGCGUAAAGCGUGCGCAGGCGGUUUUGUAAGUCUGUCGUGAAAGCCCCGGGCUCAACCUGGGAAUUGCGAUGGAGACUGCAAGGCUUGAAUCUGGCAGAGGGGGGUAGAAUUCCACGUGUAGCAGUGAAAUGCGUAGAGAUGUGGAGGAACACCGAUGGCGAAGGCAGCCCCCUGGGUCAAGAUUGACGCUCAUGCACGAAAGCGUGGGGAGCAAACAGGAUUAGAUACCCUGGUAGUCCACGCCCUAAACGAUGUCUACUAGUUGUCGGGUUUUAAUUAACUUGGUAACGCAGCUAACGCGUGAAGUAGACCGCCUGGGGAGUACGGUCGCAAGAUUAAAACUCAAAAGGAAAUUGACGGCGUGAGAGNGCGACGACGACACGAGGAGGAGG